This 827-nucleotide long non-coding RNA is filed under the name Trifolium pratense (red clover). Its description in RNAcentral is "long non-coding RNA (TPRA_LNC010084)". Lineage: Eukaryota; Viridiplantae; Streptophyta; Magnoliopsida; Fabales; Fabaceae. The record is from RNAcentral.
AUAUUUAUUACAAUAUAAAAAUCGCUUACCAAAGUUUAAGAUUAUCUGACACAAAGGAUAAAAUAAAUAAAAAAUUAAGUUUCUGGCUUUUAAAAAUUCAUGUAGGCUGCCAAAAACUUAAUUUUUUGUUGGUUUUUGGCUUUUAAAAAUUCACAUAGGUUGUUCAUGUAAGCUUAACUCAGUUGGUAGGGAUAUCAAACUAUAUGUGCAAGGGCUCGGGUUCGAACCCGAAACACUCCACUUAUUCACAUUUAAGGUAAAUUUUCUAGUCACUAAGUUACUUGACAAAAAAAUUCAUGUAGGCUCAAGAGAGGUUAAUUUUCUAGUCACCAAGUUACUAUAAAAGAAACUUGUUACUUGUUUGUAAGAGAAAGGGUCAAGAGAGCAUGUACAAAUUAUAAGCGAAAAGAUGGAAGAGAACUAGUAACACCUAGCCAUGAUGAGCGACUGCAUAAAUUAAGUAAAAAUAAAUAUUUAAACUAAGAACACAAGAACAUUUUAUUGAUACUUGAAAUUUGUUUAUAAGAGUUGAAAUGGAAUUUUACAAAAGAAUGAAAUGACAAAACUUUCGACCUCUGCAUAGAACUCAUUCUUCUGUACAUCGUGAGUUUCAUUUAAUUAUCAAUUGUGUCUUUUUAUGGGAAUUAAAACACAUUUGCCACGCACGCAUACUUCUUCGUGAGUUUCUCGCCUUCCAGUAUGAGAAAAAAAUCCAAAACAAUCUCUAUCAGAUUUACAGUGCCAUGCCUUUGUAGUAAGAAAUAGAGAAAAAAAUAAAAUACAAUACAAUUUGAUCAUUCUCUCUCUCUCUCUCUCUCUCUCUCUCU